UACGGGGGGAGCAAGCGUUGUUCGGAUUUACUGGGCGUAAAGGGCGCGUAGGCGGUCAGCACAAGUCAGUUGUGAAAUCUCCGGGCUUAACUCGGAAAGGUCAACUGAUACUGUGCGACUAGAGUGCGGAAGGGGCAACUGGAAUUCUCGGUGUAGCGGUGAAAUGCGUAGAUAUCAAGAGGAACACCUGAGGUGAAGACGGGUUGCUGGGCUGACACUGACGCUGAUGCGCGAAAGCCAGGGGAGCAAACGGG
This 254-nucleotide ribosomal RNA is filed under the name uncultured bacterium. Its description in RNAcentral is "partial 16S ribosomal RNA". It matches the Rfam family "Bacterial small subunit ribosomal RNA", at positions 524 to 776 of the family's 1533-position model. The record is from RNAcentral.